CGGGUUUUUUUUAUAUUUUUACAACAGAUUUUCUUUCCGCGGGGAAUAGUUUUUGUUGUUGUAUUGUAAUUUAUCUAUCCACGACCGCGUCCGACAAGCGGUUUAUAUCGCAACGUUUAGUUGCAACGUCCGUCUGAUAAUAUUCUCUCGGUACAUGUGUUGUAAUUUAUUUCGCGAAUCUUUUAGCCGAUUUUUUCUGGCGGUGGGCACGGGGCAAGGGGGCGAGCGUUUGAAUCGAAAGAAAUAUUACUCGGCGAAAUUUGCAUCGCAUAACAAUCACACGGGCGAGCGACGGGAAAAACAACGA
Non-coding RNA from Cinara cedri, 307 nucleotides. Lineage: Eukaryota; Metazoa; Arthropoda; Insecta; Hemiptera; Aphididae. The record is from the annotation of a GenBank genome assembly.